RNAcentral lists this unclassified non-coding RNA (511 nucleotides) under Hevea brasiliensis (rubber tree). Lineage: Eukaryota; Viridiplantae; Streptophyta; Magnoliopsida; Malpighiales; Euphorbiaceae. The record is from RNAcentral.
UGAAAAGCUUGGUGAUCAGACGGUUCUCCAACUUCCACUUCUUCAGAUGCUUCAUCCAGUGGUUCUGGAUCCUGCAAUUCUAUACAUAAUAGUUUCUUCCAUCGAUAAUUGAAGGAAUGUGGCUCAUCACAGUUGUAACAAUGUCCCUUCACACGGUGUUCAACCAUUUCUACAUGACUCAGAUGUUUGACAAAUGGAGUUGAAGUGCUUCCUGCACUUGAAGCUACAAUACCUGUACUUCCUUUAGAUUUGCACUUUUGGUUCCUAAUAGAUAUUGUUGUAGAAUGUUGAAAAGAUCUUGUUGUAAUUACACCCCACGUGUCUGGUCGAGCCAGCUUAUAACGCCCCUCACCCGAUCUACAGUGUAGCCGAGUAAGGAACGCCACAUUUUGUACCGGAGCACCUUAUCUUAUCUUACUUUAUUUAUUAUUACCUUUAAUCCCAUUAUGUGUUAAAUCGAGUUUCCCUUGUUUUAUUAACAUUUGACCUAUUAAAGUAAUCACCUGUUUAA